Molecule: transfer RNA, 66 nt
Filed under: Cancer pagurus (edible crab)
Lineage: Eukaryota; Metazoa; Arthropoda; Malacostraca; Decapoda; Cancridae
Description: tRNA-Arg
Source: RNAcentral
AAUUAGAAAGUGAACCGAUUACAUCUAGUUUCGACCUAGACUUUGGCACCUUUUUGCCUCUAAUUA